GGGGGGGCAAGCGUUGUUCGGAAUACUGGGCGUAAAGGGCUCGUAGGCGGCAACUAAGUCAGACGUGAAAUCCCCAGGCUUAACCUGGGAACUGCGUCUGAUACUGGAUGGCUUGAGUUUGGGAGAGGGAUGCGGAAUUCCAGGUGUAGCGGUGAAAUGCGUAGAUAUCUGGAGGAACACCGGUGGCGAAGGCGACAUCCUGGACCAACACUGACGCUGAGGAGCGAAAGCCAGGGGAGCAAACGGGAUUAGAUACCCCGGUAGUCCUGGCCCUAAACGAUGAAUGCUUGGUGUGGCGGGUAUCGAUCCCUGCCGUGCCGAAGCUAACGCAUUAAGCAUUCCGCCUGGGGAGUACGGUCGCAAGGCUG
RNAcentral lists this ribosomal RNA (368 nucleotides) under uncultured organism. Its description in RNAcentral is "bacterial SSU rRNA". It matches the Rfam family "Bacterial small subunit ribosomal RNA", at positions 528 to 896 of the family's 1533-position model. The record is from RNAcentral.